UAGCAACUCCUUCCGUUGCCAAAAGAAACAGACUUGCACUUGUAGAUUGCUUUCAUUCUGCGCUAUCAAGCCACUGCAUGCGCUGCUUUCACAAAGCUGACAGUCAUCGAUCAUUUUUAAAUGGGUUUAGAGAUUCCAAGGAUUUGAGACGGCAAAAGCAAGAAUACCCCUCUCUGCUUAGUCAUUCCUCUCUAGUCUCCCAGUUCUUUCUGUGCAGCCCUAAGCAACCUCAUCUCUGUUAAGGCUCCAAGCACUCUACAAGCCUUCCCACAGCAAUGAGUGGUUGUUAAAAAUGAGGGAUGAAGAUUAAACCAAAAGAAAAGGGAACAAUUGAAUUUAUUCUAUUAUUUAAACUUUUUUUUUUUUGGUUUUUUUCCGGUACCAGGAAUCGAA
RNAcentral lists this long non-coding RNA (393 nucleotides) under Chinchilla lanigera (long-tailed chinchilla). RNAcentral describes it as "lncRNA (ENSCLAG00000024415.1)". Lineage: Eukaryota; Metazoa; Chordata; Mammalia; Rodentia; Chinchillidae. The record is from RNAcentral.